This 465-nucleotide ribosomal RNA is filed under the name Vreelandella stevensii. RNAcentral describes it as "partial 16S ribosomal RNA". It matches the Rfam family "Bacterial small subunit ribosomal RNA", at positions 338 to 795 of the family's 1533-position model. Lineage: Bacteria; Pseudomonadati; Pseudomonadota; Gammaproteobacteria; Oceanospirillales; Halomonadaceae. The record is from RNAcentral.
CCUAUGUGUGGCUGCAGUGGGGAAUAUUGGACAAUGGGCGAAAGCCUGAUCCAGCCAUGCCGCGUGUGUGAAGAAGGCCUUCGGGUUGUAAAGCACUUUCAGUGGGGAAGAAAGCCUUGGGGCUAAUACCCUCGAGGAAGGACAUCACCCACAGAAGAAGCACCGGCUAACUCCGUGCCAGCAGCCGCGGUAAUACGGAGGGUGCGAGCGUUAAUCGGAAUUACUGGGCGUAAAGCGCGCGUAGGCGGUCUGAUAAGCCGGUUGUGAAAGCCCCGGGCUCAACCUGGGAACGGCAUCCGGAGCUGUCAGGCUAGAGUGCAGGAGAGGAAGGUAGAAUUCCCGGUGUAGCGGUGAAAUGCGUAGAGAUCGGGAGGAAUACCAGUGGCGAAGGCGGCCUUCUGGACUGACACUGACGCUGAGGUGCGAAAGCGUGGGUAGCAAACAGGAUUAGAUACCCGAGUAGUC